UACGUAGGUGGCAAGCGUUGUCCGGAUUUAUUGGGUUUAAAGGGUGCGUAGGCGGCCUUAUAAGUCAGUGCUGAAAUAUCCCGGCUUAACCGGGAGGGUGGCAUUGAUACUGUAGGGCUUGAGUGUAGUCGAGGUAGGCGGAAUUGACGGUGUAGCGGUGAAAUGCUUAGAUAUCGCCAAGAACACCGAUAGUGUAGACAGCUUACUAGGCUACAACUGACGCUGAGGCACGAAAGUGUGGGGAUCAAACAGG
This 253-nucleotide ribosomal RNA is filed under the name uncultured bacterium. RNAcentral's name for it is "partial 16S ribosomal RNA". It matches the Rfam family "Bacterial small subunit ribosomal RNA", at positions 524 to 776 of the family's 1533-position model. The record is from RNAcentral.